RNAcentral lists this ribosomal RNA (253 nucleotides) under uncultured bacterium. RNAcentral describes it as "partial 16S ribosomal RNA". It matches the Rfam family "Bacterial small subunit ribosomal RNA", at positions 524 to 776 of the family's 1533-position model. The record is from RNAcentral.
GACGUAGGGCGCGAGCGUUGUCCGGAUUUAUUGGGCGUAAAGAGCUCGUAGGCGGCUUGUCGCGUCGACUGUGAAAUCCCGAGGCUCAACUUCGGGCUUGCAGUCGAUACGGGCAGGCUAGAGUUCGGUAGGGGAGACUGGAAUUCCUGGUGUAGCGGUGAAAUGCGCAGAUAUCAGGAGGAACACCGAUGGCGAAGGCAGGUCUCUGGGCCGAUACUGACGCUGAGGAGCGAAGGCGUGGGGAGCGAACAGG